AACGAACGCUGGCGGCAGGCUUAACACAUGCAAGUCGAGCGCCCCGCAAGGGAGCGGCAGACGGGUGAGUAACGCGUGGGAAUCUACCCAGCUCUACGGAACAACUCCGGGAAACUGGAGCUAAUACCGUAUACGUCCGAGAGGAGAAAGAUUUAUCGGAGUUGGAUGAGCCCGCGUCGGAUUAGCUAGUUGGUGGGGUAAUGGCCUACCAAGGCGACGAUCCGUAGCUGGUCUGAGAGGAUGAUCAGCCACACUGGGACUGAGACACGGCUCAGACUCCUACGGGAGGCAGCAGUGGGAAUAUUGGACAAUGGCGAAAGCCUGAUCCAGCCAUGCCGCGUGAGUGAUGAAGGCCCCUAGGGUUGUAAAAGCUCUUUCACCGGGGAAAGAUAAUGGACGGUACCCGGAGAAGAGCCCCGGCUAANUUCGUGCCAGCAGCCGCGUAAUACG
This 450-nucleotide ribosomal RNA is filed under the name uncultured bacterium. Its description in RNAcentral is "bacterial SSU rRNA". It matches the Rfam family "Bacterial small subunit ribosomal RNA", at positions 29 to 527 of the family's 1533-position model. The record is from RNAcentral.